This 253-nucleotide ribosomal RNA is filed under the name uncultured bacterium. RNAcentral's name for it is "partial 16S ribosomal RNA". It matches the Rfam family "Bacterial small subunit ribosomal RNA", at positions 524 to 776 of the family's 1533-position model. The record is from RNAcentral.
UACGGAGGGUGCGAGCGUUGUCCGGAAUCACUGGGUUUAAAGGGUGCGUAGGUGGGUCUGUAAGUCAGUGGUGAAAUCUCCGUGCUUAACAUGGAAACUGCCAUUGAUACUAUAGGUCUUGAAUUUUCUGGAGGUAAGCGGAAUAUGUCAUGUAGCGGUGAAAUGCUUAGAUAUGACAUAGAACACCAAUUGCGAAGGCAGCUUACUACGGGAACAUUGACACUGAGGCACGAAAGCGUGGGGAUCAAACAGG